RNAcentral lists this transfer RNA (83 nucleotides) under Cyclobacteriaceae bacterium. RNAcentral's name for it is "tRNA-Tyr". It matches the Rfam family "tRNA". Rfam says of the family: Transfer RNA (tRNA) molecules are approximately 80 nucleotides in length. Their secondary structure includes four short double-helical elements and three loops (D, anti-codon, and T loops). The record is from RNAcentral. Lineage: Bacteria; Pseudomonadati; Bacteroidota; Cytophagia; Cytophagales; Cyclobacteriaceae.
GGGGAAGUACCAAAGCGGCCAACUGGGACAGACUGUAAAUCUGUUGUCUUAUGACUUCACAGGUUCGAAUCCUGUCUUCCCCA